CUGCCCGUAGCUCAGUUGGAUAGAGCAUCUGCCUUCUAAGCAGAUGGUCGCUGGUUCGAAUCCUGCCGGGCAGGCCA
RNAcentral lists this transfer RNA (77 nucleotides) under Sutterella megalosphaeroides. Its description in RNAcentral is "tRNA-Arg". It matches the Rfam family "tRNA". From Rfam's summary of the family: Transfer RNA (tRNA) molecules are approximately 80 nucleotides in length. Their secondary structure includes four short double-helical elements and three loops (D, anti-codon, and T loops). Lineage: Bacteria; Pseudomonadati; Pseudomonadota; Betaproteobacteria; Burkholderiales; Sutterellaceae. The record is from RNAcentral.